AAAAAAAAAAAAAGCGCAGCUAUCUCCUUCUCCGAACAAAAUUGCAGUAGCUUUCUCCACCAUUGUUUCAUCCAUAAAAGCUCCACCAAACCACCAAAAUAAGCAAAUGUAAAAGAACACCUUCUUCCCCUGUUAAACACUAUCCCUCCUCCACCAAAACACCACUGUUUUCUCCCAAAAACGACCUCAAAUCAGCCCCCAAAACCAGCUCCCUUCCACCUUAAAAGAACCCCCAAAACGCAGCAAAACCAGCUGCGAAAUCAGACCAAAAUCGAGCUGAAAAGGGGACCAAAAUCCAGCCCAAAGAGCAGCAAAACCAGCUGCGAAACUGCUGAAAAACAGCCCCAAAACUCAGCAAAAUCAGCCACAAAAAUCAACCAAAAACAGCCCCAAAAACCAGCUAUAAACCAACCCGAAAAUACCACAAGAAAGAACCACAAACGGGCAUAAUCUAUUUUUCUGUUCUUCGCUAGCUCGAUCGUUCGCGAUUCCUUUUGGGUUUGGCGUGUUAGCUUUCGUUUGAGGUCGCCGUCAUUGGUUUUCAGGCGUGGUCCUUAUCCUCGGCUCGAUUAUUGAGUUAUAGAAGUUUAAAGUUUGGAUUCGGCCAAUGUAAGGAUUGACUUUUGGAGGGGAAAAAAAGGCUAUGGAACAAAAUCUUUUCUUUCACUUGGGAAGUUCCAGCCUUUCAGGUUAUUUCGCGGUUGAGUGGUCAGUCAUCUGAUUGUACUACUUCCAGCGUCUGGCAACUCCAUAUCCAGAAUUUGUCUAAGCACUCCAAAGAAAGGUGAGGAGGAGCAAUCGGACUUGAAAAUAAGCCUUAGAUCUUUUCCAUAUUGAUGAGAGCUCUUUAAGGGCCUUUGUUUCAUUCUGGGUUUUGGACCUUAGUUUCUUUAAUCUGUUCUCCAGAUGGUAGAAUCUUCUACAUUUAUAUACAAGAUUUAAGCAUAACUUGAGUGGACAAGAGAAAGAUAGCCUUUACUGAAAUGCUAAGGAGGGUAGAAGAAGGUUGCAUUGUCUCGAUAUUGAAUUACCAUCAGAAGCGUACUCUUGUGAAUGUAAAGCUAAAAUGGGUUAAAGAUAGUGUCUUGGACAGUGUAGUAGCUGGAGGCAGAGAACUAAAGGCGGGAUCUACACUAGUUUCCAUCAUUGCCUCACAAUCCAGUUCUGGUCUUCCUAUUUACCAUCUCACAACCAAGCGUGGGCAGCUUGGGCUCCCUCAUGAAUUGAAAAUCUCCACUUUCCUUAGGCGAUACCCAAAUAUUUUUGAGGAAUUUUCUUGUCGUGAUAGUGCUGGCACUCCUGUUCCGUGGUUCAAAUUAACUCCUGAGACCCUAGAGUUUCAUCAUGAAGAAGUUAAUGUUCUCCGCGAGUGCAGCACGGAUAUUGUUAGUAGGCUGAGAAAGCUUUUGAUGAUGACCAAGGAGAGGAUGCUUCCUCUUCAGACAGUUGAUCAACUAAAAUGGGAUUUAGGCUUGCCACAUGAUUGUGGUAGUUCAUUGGUUAUAAAACAUCCUGAGCUGUUUAAUUUGGUGGACCUUCCCGAUGGUCGUGUUGGUCUUAAGCUUUUAGCAUGGGAUCACAAAUUAGCUGUUUCCCAUUUGGAGGCAAAUUCUACAAGGGGAAAUGGGACCUUGAUGUUUCCUAUUGGAUUCACCCGGGGUUUCGGGUUAAAGAGAAAAUGCAUGGAAUGGUUGGAGGAAUGGCAAAAGCUGCCUUAUACUUCUCCUUAUGUGGAUGCCUCUCAUUUGGACCCAAGGACAGAUGUGUCAGAGAAGAGAAUUGUUGGAGUGUUUAACGAGCUUCUGCACCUCAUCUUACAAAAGAAAACAGAGAGGAGAAACGUUAGCAAUCUCCGCAAGCCAUUUGAAUUGCCUCAGAAGUUCACAAAGGUCUUUGAGCGGCAUCCUGGGAUUUUUUACAUUUCUAUGAAGGGUGACACUCAGACUGUCGUCCUUAGAGAGGCUUAUAAUCGCGAUCAACUGAUUGAGAAGCAUCCCCUUGUUCACAUAAGGGAGAAAUUUGCGAACAUGAUGAAGCAAGGUUUUCUAGAUCGUAGUAGGGGGUUAUAUAGAGAUACUAACCAAGGCGUAGAAGAGGAGUCACUGACAAGUAGUUUUGUUGGUGAAACCUGUGGAACUAGAUAUAACUCUGGUAUAGUCUCAGAUUCUGAUAUGCUUUUAGAACAUGAAGCAAAGUAGAUUAAGGUCCUUCAAGAAUUUAAUGUUAUAAGCUGAGAUGUGAUUGGCACACUAUUUGAAGUUCUCAGAAACCUGUGGAACUGUAUUGGAUAUGCUUUCAGAAUACGAAUAGAUCAGAUAGAGGUCUUUUAAGUUCUGUAAUUACAAGCUGAGAUGUGAUUACGUGUAACUUUGCGAUUCUCAUUUUCUGAUCUGAAUUUGCGAAGAAGUUCUUUAUAAUGUUGAGGAAGUUCUCCCUAGUCUUGCUUAUGAUAUGGUCCUCAUCUUAGUUACUCAGAACAGGUCAAAGAAGACAGCCAUUUUUAGAUCAAGAUGAAAGAAAAUUAACAAAUGCAAUUGAAAGUUGAGGUGAGAGUGUGGAUUACUCCCUUCAUGAGCAUCGUUUCAGAGAACCACCUGUGGAGUGCCCUUGGGUGUGUCUCAAAGAUAUGUUUGACAGUCUUUUGUUCUCUAAGAAGAAUUCAGCUGGAACUCUUGCAGCGACUGACUCGGUGGUGUCAUAAUAUAAUGGUCUCAUGAAUGAAUCUGGGCACAUGUGGAAAAAGAAACUUUUAAGAUGUCCCUGAAAUGGACACCAUAAAAUUUAGAAUGUUUGAGACACAAAAUUAUUUUGGAAACCAAAAUGAAAUACCGCCUGUCUCAAUUUAUGUGAUGCACUAUCGUUUUUAGUUUGUUACAAAAGGAAUGAUACAUUUUUAUAUUUAGACAAAAGUUUCUAAAGUCUUUCCUUCUUAGACAAUUGAAGUGCUCUACAAAUAGUGUACCCUACACUUAUUAAAGUGUAAUAGCAGUGUUGGAAAAACUACUUAUCUAAAAGUUACUGCACUCCCAUACAAGGCCUUAAACUGA
Molecule: non-coding RNA, 3047 nt
Organism: Nicotiana tabacum (common tobacco)
Lineage: Eukaryota; Viridiplantae; Streptophyta; Magnoliopsida; Solanales; Solanaceae
Source: RefSeq, a predicted model, not a curated record